GACGAACGCUGGCGGCGUGCUUAACACAUGCAAGUCGAACGGCAGCACGGACUUCGGUCUGGUGGCGAGUGGCGAACGGGUGAGUAACAUAUCGGAACGUAUCCAAUAAUGGGGGAUAACUAAUCGAAAGGUUGGCUAAUACCGCAUACGCCCUACGGGGAAAGCUAGGGACCUUCGGGCCUGGCGUUAAUGGAGCGGCCGAUAUCUGAUUAGCUAGUUGGUGAGGUAAGGGCUCACCAAGGCGACGAUCAGUAGCUGGUCUGAGAGGACGAUCAGCCACACUGGGACUGAGACACGGCCCAGACUCCUACGGGAGGCAGCAGUGGGGAAUUUUGGACAAUGGGGGAAACCCUGAUCCAGCAAUGCCGCGUGAGUGAAGAAGGCCUUCGGGUUGUAAAGACUCUUUUGUCAGGGUAGAAACGAGCAGCUCUAACACAGUCUGCGAAUGACGGUACCUGAAGAAUAA
This 466-nucleotide ribosomal RNA is filed under the name uncultured bacterium. RNAcentral describes it as "bacterial SSU rRNA". It matches the Rfam family "Bacterial small subunit ribosomal RNA", at positions 28 to 489 of the family's 1533-position model. The record is from RNAcentral.